AUAUGCUCACCUGGCGCACAGUCACAGACCCAAUCGAGCUGCUGAUCCCCUGGAUAUAGAAGCUGGUACCGCGGGCAUCGCGCCGGCGAAUAGAGCGGCUUUCGACCCUGUACAAAGAGGGAGCGGGAGAAGAGUAUUAUAGUUGGCAACAGCAGAAAGGAGAAAAAAACCAGUCUUUACAGGAGAAACUUGAUUUUCCAUAAUUGCUGUUCUUGGCGCCAUCUUUCAAGACUCGAAAUAUAUAUUUUUCGGCCCCAGGAGCAGGGACAAAGCUCGUGUCGUCUAGUCUCUCUCGACAGCUUACCGCCAAGUUAACUUUCUUCUUAUCAAUGUCCGCGUCCUCCACG
Long non-coding RNA from Drosophila pseudoobscura, 347 nucleotides. RefSeq lists it as uncharacterized. NCBI's taxonomy places the organism in Eukaryota, Metazoa, Arthropoda, Insecta, Diptera, Drosophilidae. The transcript has 3 exons. The record is from RefSeq and is a predicted model, not a curated record.